GGAUUGUCCCUAUCUACUUCGCGUUCGACUGCGCUAGCGGACGGACGUGCUCGUGUGCGCUCUCGCGUUUAUAAAUUAAUAUCUUCGGAAAUUUCUGUGUUUUCUUCCCCAAUUAAUGCACGAACGGGAAAACAGUGGUGUGUGUGAGAAGUGAAGUGUAACGGUGCCGAAAAUCAGGUGUUUUCUGGGAGUUUUCCCUUACCACGUGGUGGCAAGCACGUGGUGGGCUCGCGGAGGGGUCUGUUGGGUGCAUUGUCGCGUCACCGGUGCCUGUGCAGCUGGAGGCCAGUGCUGGGCAGUAAAUAAAAAGAUCCGAGUCGGACGCGCGCGGACCGCGCCUUCUUACGCUCGCGGCGCGCAUACGAAAUUAAUACACGAACGGGAUACCGAUUUUAAUACACGAACAUAUCCGUCCGACGACGACUGCGGCGCCGCUGCGAGACUACACCACACGACACCCGCCAACACCGCGCAACAGCAGACGGCUCGCUGCAAACGUAAACGAAACUUGUAACGCAGUUAAAGAUCCGAGUCGGACGCGCGCGGACCGCGCCAUCUUACGCUCGCGGCGCGCAUACGAAAUUAAUACACGAACGGGAUACCGAUUUUAAUACACGAACAUAUCCGUCCGACGACGACUGCGGCGCCGCUGCGAGACUACACCACACGACACCCGCCAACACCGCGCAACAGCAGACGGCUCGCUGCAAACGUAAACGAAACUUGUAACGCAGUUAAAGGUAAAUAAAGUUAUAUAUAUAUAAAUGAAACGUUCACAACACCGCCGCCGCGGCUGCUGCUGCUGCUGCUGCUGCUGCCCGCACCGUUUCAACUUCGUCGUACUCGAACUACUACUUACUA
Spodoptera frugiperda (fall armyworm) is the source of this 861-nucleotide long non-coding RNA. RefSeq lists it as uncharacterized. Lineage: Eukaryota; Metazoa; Arthropoda; Insecta; Lepidoptera; Noctuidae. The transcript is spliced from 3 exons. The record is from RefSeq and is a predicted model, not a curated record.